AUACAUGGUAGGGGAGAGUCCAGCCGCCUGUAACCGGUAUAUCCGCAUAGCAGUCGUAGUUGGCACCGAAGGAGCAACACCCCACUAAACUCUCAGGUACCAGUACUUUAUCAUGUAA
RNAcentral lists this non-coding RNA (118 nucleotides) under Puniceispirillum (SeqCode). RNAcentral describes it as "Candidatus Puniceispirillum Glycine sequence". It matches the Rfam family "Glycine riboswitch aptamer". From Rfam's summary of the family: This family represents the bacterial glycine riboswitch. Glycine riboswitches usually consist of two metabolite-binding aptamers domains with similar structures in tandem. The aptamers cooperatively bind glycine to regulate the expression of downstream genes. The record is from RNAcentral. Lineage: Bacteria; Pseudomonadati; Pseudomonadota; Alphaproteobacteria; Puniceispirillales (SeqCode); Puniceispirillaceae (SeqCode).